This 222-nucleotide ribosomal RNA is filed under the name uncultured bacterium. Its description in RNAcentral is "partial 16S ribosomal RNA". It matches the Rfam family "Bacterial small subunit ribosomal RNA", at positions 29 to 263 of the family's 1533-position model. The record is from RNAcentral.
AAUGAACGUUGGCGGCGUGGAUUAGGCAUGCAAGUCGCGCGAUAAAGUAGCAAUACUUGGACAGCGGCGAAAGGGAGAGUAAUACAUAGGUACGUACCCUUGGGACGUGGGAGUAGCGGCGGGAAACGUAGCCGGGUAAUACCAGAUGACGUUUCCGUAACCAAAGGUAGUGAAUCCGCCUGAGGAGCGGCCUAUGUCCUAUUAGCUUGUUGGUGGGAACGG